RNAcentral lists this ribosomal RNA (710 nucleotides) under Rhodococcus ruber. Its description in RNAcentral is "bacterial SSU rRNA". It matches the Rfam family "Bacterial small subunit ribosomal RNA", at positions 62 to 785 of the family's 1533-position model. Lineage: Bacteria; Bacillati; Actinomycetota; Actinomycetes; Mycobacteriales; Nocardiaceae. The record is from RNAcentral.
UCGAACGAUGAAGCCCAGCUUGCUGGGUGGAUUAGUGGCGAACGGGUGAGUAACACGUGGGUGAUCUGCCCUGCACUUCGGGAUAAGCCUGGGAAACUGGGUCUAAUACCGGAUAGGACCUCGGGAUGCAUGUUCCGGGGUGGAAAGGUUUUCCGGUGCAGGAUGGGCCCGCGGCCUAUCAGCUUGUUGGUGGGGUAACGGCCCACCAAGGCGACGACGGGUAGCCGGCCUGAGAGGGCGACCGGCCACACUGGGACUGAGACACGGCCCAGACUCCUACGGGAGGCAGCAGUGGGGAAUAUUGCACAAUGGGCGCAAGCCUGAUGCAGCGACGCCGCGUGAGGGAUGACGGCCUUCGGGUUGUAAACCUCUUUCAGUACCGACGAAGCGCAAGUGACGGUAGGUACAGAAGAAGCACCGGCCAACUACGUGCCAGCAGCCGCGGUAAUACGUAGGGUGCGAGCGUUGUCCGGAAUUACUGGGCGUAAAGAGCUCGUAGGCGGUUUGUCGCGUCGUCUGUGAAAACCCGCAGCUCAACUGCGGGCUUGCAGGCGAUACGGGCAGACUUGAGUACUGCAGGGGAGACUGGAAUUCCUGGUGUAGCGGUGAAAUGCGCAGAUAUCAGGAGGAACACCGGUGGCGAAGGCGGGUCUCUGGGCAGUAACUGACGCUGAGGAGCGAAAGCGUGGGUAGCGAACAGGAUUAGAUAC